RNAcentral lists this small RNA (80 nucleotides) under Flavobacterium sp. 81. Its description in RNAcentral is "Flavo-1 RNA". It matches the Rfam family "Flavo-1 RNA". The record is from RNAcentral. RNAcentral also lists the same sequence under 1 other name. Lineage: Bacteria; Pseudomonadati; Bacteroidota; Flavobacteriia; Flavobacteriales; Flavobacteriaceae.
UUUUAGCCCCGAUAGUAGUGAAAAUCCUUUAUUUUUUUCCUUUAAAAAAUUAAAGAUUGUAACGGAUAGCGGGAUUAGCU